GGCUUAACACAUGCAAGUCGAGCGGGCGUAGCAAUACGUCAGCGGCAGACGGGUGAGUAACGCGUGGGAACGUACCUUUUGGUUCGGAACAACACAGGGAAACUUGUGCUAAUACCGGAUAAGCCCUUACGGGGAAGGAUUUAUCGCCGAAAGAUCGGCCCGCGUCUGAUUAGCUAGUUGGUAGGGUAAUGGCCUACCAAGGCGACGAUCAGUAGCUAAUCUGAGAGGAUGAUCAGCCACAUUGGGACUGAGACACGGCCCAAACUCCUACGGGAGGCAGCAGUGGGGAAAUUUAAGCAAUGGGGGCAACCCUGAUCCAGCCAUGCCGUGAGUGAUGAAGGCCCUAGGGUUGUAAAGCUC
RNAcentral lists this ribosomal RNA (360 nucleotides) under uncultured organism. RNAcentral's name for it is "bacterial SSU rRNA". It matches the Rfam family "Bacterial small subunit ribosomal RNA", at positions 45 to 433 of the family's 1533-position model. The record is from RNAcentral.